CUGAGAUUCCUCAAAAUAAUAACAUAUUGGAGUACAUGUGUUAAAAAUUUGCUUAAUGUCCAGUGGCAAAUAUUACAUGCAUGUUCAAAACAAUUGUUAAAUAAGUACAAUAGGUAAGUCCUGUAAAAGAUGUCAUCUGGGGUGAAAGAAGGUCAAUGAAACUUGGACUGCCACUGGACAACGAAAGCAUAUUGAAGGUGGACAGGAAUUUGCCCUCCUGCAUAUUCAGACAAAAGGCCACCCAUGGCCUCUAAAAGAGUUGUUGCAAUAGUUAUUAACCUGCAGAGAUCAUGGCACUCUCUUUCUAUACAUGCUAUAUGAGGCAUCCGAUUAAAGGUGACCAAUCUUACAUUUGUUGAAAAUUAAACAUCCCGC
Molecule: long non-coding RNA, 375 nt
Filed under: Mytilus galloprovincialis (Mediterranean mussel)
Lineage: Eukaryota; Metazoa; Mollusca; Bivalvia; Mytilida; Mytilidae
Source: RNAcentral